GUGUUGUACGAAAUGAGAGGAUGCCAUUCCCUUUGAUAAGGAUAGAAGAGGCCCUAAUGGCCUUUACAACACACACAUGGUUAAAUCAUUGCCAGUUAUUCUGUGCCAUCUAACCAUGUCUAUCA
Molecule: small nuclear RNA, 125 nt
Organism: Trichosurus vulpecula (common brushtail)
Lineage: Eukaryota; Metazoa; Chordata; Mammalia; Diprotodontia; Phalangeridae
Source: RefSeq, a predicted model, not a curated record